UACGUAGGGUGCAAGCGUUAAUCGGAAUUACUGGGCGUAAAGCGUGCGCAGGCGGCUUUGCAAGACAGAUGUGAAAUCCCCGGGCUUAACCUGGGAACUGCAUUUGCGACUGCAUGGCUAGAGUGCGGCAGAGGGGGAUGGAAUUCCGCGUGUAGCAGUGAAAUGCGUAGAUAUGCGGAGGAACACCGAUGGCGAAGGCAAUCCCCUGGGCCUGCACUGACGCUCAUGCACGAAAGCGUGGGGAGCAAACAGG
RNAcentral lists this ribosomal RNA (253 nucleotides) under uncultured bacterium. RNAcentral describes it as "partial 16S ribosomal RNA". It matches the Rfam family "Bacterial small subunit ribosomal RNA", at positions 524 to 776 of the family's 1533-position model. The record is from RNAcentral.